This 300-nucleotide ribosomal RNA is filed under the name uncultured Gammaproteobacteria bacterium. RNAcentral describes it as "bacterial SSU rRNA". It matches the Rfam family "Bacterial small subunit ribosomal RNA", at positions 114 to 406 of the family's 1533-position model. Lineage: Bacteria; Pseudomonadati; Pseudomonadota; Gammaproteobacteria. The record is from RNAcentral.
CGCGUAGGAAUCUACCUAGGUGUGGGGAGUAACAUGGAGAAAUUACAUGCUAAUACCGCCAUACGCCCCACCGGGUAAAGGAAGGGCCGUCUUCUUGAAAGACUCUUGCAUUUAGUAUGAGCCUGCGUCGGAUUAGCUUGUUGGCGGGGUAAGUGGCCCACCAAGGCGACGAUCCGUAGCUGGUCUGAGAGGAUGAUCAGCCACACUGGGACUGAGACACGGCCCAGACUCCUACGGGAGGCAGCAGUGGGGAAGUAUUGGACAAUGGGCGCAAGCCUGAUCCAGCAAUACCUCGUGUGU